Molecule: ribosomal RNA, 498 nt
Filed under: uncultured bacterium
Lineage: Bacteria
Description: partial 16S ribosomal RNA
Rfam family: Bacterial small subunit ribosomal RNA
Source: RNAcentral
GACGAACGCUGGCGGCGUGCCUAAUACAUGCAAGUCGAACGAGAGCGCCCGGUGCUUGCACUGGUCAAUCUAGUGGCGAACGGGUGAGUAACACGUGGGUAACCUGCCCAUCAGAGGGGGAUAACAUCCGGAAACGGAUGCUAAAACCGCAUAGGUCUUCGAACCGCAUGGUUUGAAGAGGAAAAGAGGCGCAAGCUUCUGCUGAUGGAUGGACCCGCGGUGCAUUAGCUAGUUGGUGAGGUAACGGCUCACCAAGGCCGUGAUGCAUAGCCGACCUGAGAGGGUGAUCGGCCACAUUGGGACUGAGACACGGCCCAAACUCCUACGGGAGGCAGCAGUAGGGAAUCUUCCGCAAUGGACGCAAGUCUGACGGAGCAACGCCGCGUGAGUGAAGAAGGUUUUCGGAUCGUAAAACUCUGUUGUUAGAGAAGAACAAGUGCUAGAGUAACUGUUAGCGCCUUGACGGUAUCUAACCAGAAAGCCACGGCUAACUGCGUG